GACGAACGCUGGCGGCGUGCUUAACACAUGCAAGUCGAACGGAAAGGCCCUGCUUUUGUGGGGUGCUCGAGUGGCGAACGGGUGAGUAACACGUGAGUAACCUGCCCUUGACUUUGGGAUAACUUCAGGAAACUGGGGCUAAUACCGGAUAGGAGCUCCUGCUGCAUGGUGGGGGUUGGAAAGUUUCGGCGGUUGGGGAUGGACUCGCGGCUUAUCAGCUUGUUGGUGGGGUAGUGGCUUACCAAGGCUUUGACGGGUAGCCGGCCUGAGAGGGCGACCGGCCACAUGGGGACUGAGAGACGGCCCAGACGCCGACGGGAGGCAGCAGUGGGGAAUAGUGCACAAUGGGCGGAAGCCUGAUGCAGCAACGCCGCGUGCGGGAUGACGGCCUUCGGGUUGUAAACCGCUUUCGCCUGUGACGAAGCGUGAGUGACGGUAAUGGGUAAAGAAGCACCGGCUAACUACGUG
RNAcentral lists this ribosomal RNA (468 nucleotides) under uncultured bacterium. RNAcentral describes it as "partial 16S ribosomal RNA". It matches the Rfam family "Bacterial small subunit ribosomal RNA", at positions 28 to 507 of the family's 1533-position model. The record is from RNAcentral.